This is a long non-coding RNA of Thunnus maccoyii (southern bluefin tuna), 1593 nucleotides long. RefSeq lists it as uncharacterized. The record is from RefSeq and is a predicted model, not a curated record. The transcript has 3 exons. NCBI's taxonomy places the organism in Eukaryota, Metazoa, Chordata, Actinopteri, Scombriformes, Scombridae.
CACAAAAGCAAGAUGGCGGCUCCCGGAAAGGGGAUAUUUUGGCGUCACUUUUGCAUCGCGGUAGGAAGUGGAGACGCGUCGUUCACAUUUAUAUACAGUCUAUGAUAACGAGCAGUAGAUAGCUGCUUGCAUUAGCCAACAGUUAGCUUCUUGUAGCAGCCCUGAAGUACUCUUUAUACAUCCAUGGAAGGACUGAGGACUGUUUUUAAGCUAACUGGAGAGAGAAGCAACCGGAGAAACAACCAGGAGAGUUAGCUUGUUUGUCAUUGUUGCUAAUGAUAUUAGACUGGUUAAGCAGCAGCCACAAAGUUCUGCUAACUAACAAACAAGAGGACCAACAGCCACAAAUGCAGUGAGACGUCAUUACAUGAAUAUUUCAUCUCCAUGAAGGAAAGAAGAAGACGUCGGAUAACUUUCCACCACAGCAUCAAUGAUCAUCGACCGGGCCAUGAGGGAGAGCGCACGGUUAAGGCAUCCCAAAUAACCAUCCGACAGCAACUCUGACAAAACACUCAAUACGGAGUGAAAAACGAGAGACAGCCGCAGAGUGAGACAGAGCAGGGGGAGUUAACAGACAGGUAUGGUGGAGCCCCACAACCGAGAACCCAGAGCGCAAGAACCUGUGUGUGGCGGGCGUGAUCCACCGGAGCCGAUGGACAGGACCAGAGGAGCCACUGAACAUUCAAUACACACCCAUCGAAGUAUAAAACAAGAAGGGCCUAGCCUUACGGAAAAAAGGAAAAAAAAACAUAGCAGUUGUGGCGGUUGCUUGAUAAAAUAGUGCCUUCUUUUCCCAGGUGUUAACUCUCAGACACAGUUUCCUCAGUCUGCUCAGUCUGCAGUGAUAAAUCAGGUGCAGUGGCAAUUUGUAUGAAUUUCUAUUCUAUCGUCCAAUAUUUUGCCCCUCUAAACAGGAACGUCUUAAAAUACAUAUUGCACGAUCCCAAACAAGCAACUUUCAACUUUGCUGCUUUCUUUCCAUUUUACCGCUGCAAAACCUCCGUGCAGCAAAUAAGGAAAAACGCAAAUCAUCAGUUUAGCGCAUAAAAAUGGCUGCACAUCGUAGUGAAUACCCGCUUAGUUGUCUAAACUCAAUAAAACUUUAACCAUAGAAGCGGCAGAACAGGAAAUACUGAUAUGAAUUGUUCCAGUAACCUUUGAAGCAUCAUUUAAGAAGGCUUUGAAAAACAGUGCUGCUGCUGUUCAUGGUGCCAGAUCAGAUAAAACUCAUAUAGGAUGUUUUCAACGGCGACGAUUAUAAUACUAUUGUAAGACUAUUAAAUAAACACUGCAUAUAUAGUCUACAGACUUUAUUACUUACCAGACAGAAAGACUAAAAUGACAUGAUAAUGCUGCUCUAUCUGUGAAAUAAUGAAAUAAACAUGAAUAACUUUUUAUCACUGAAAUUAUAGGUUUUACAGGCAUCUAUUGUUUUUACAACACUUAUAAUUUAGCACGUAGUCUAUUUGAUAUUCUACAAGUUAGUGAGAAACACCUUGAUGGACAAAAUUAAGUAAAUAGUUACAAAUGUGUUGAGAUUGGAGCUAAUUACUGUCACUACUAUUGAUAUUAAAGACCUCAAUGCUCAUAAUU